RNAcentral lists this ribosomal RNA (497 nucleotides) under uncultured bacterium. Its description in RNAcentral is "partial 16S ribosomal RNA". It matches the Rfam family "Bacterial small subunit ribosomal RNA", at positions 28 to 507 of the family's 1533-position model. The record is from RNAcentral.
GAUGAACGCUGGCGGCGUGCCUAAUACAUGCAAGUCGAGCGAACGGACGAGGAGCUUGUUUCUCUGAUGUUAGCGGAGGACGGGUGAGUAACACGUGGAAAACCUACCUAUAUGACUGGGAUAACUUCGGGAAACCGGCGCUAAUACCGGAUAAUCUUUUGAUCCGCAUGGUUCAAUAGUGAAAGACGGUCUUGCUGUCACUUAUAGAUGGAUCCGGGCUGGAUUAGCUAGUUGGUAAGGUAACGGCCUACCAAGGCAACGAUGCGUAGCCGACCGGAUAGGGUGAUCGGCCACACUGGAAGUGAGACACGGUCCAGAGGCCUACGGUAGGCAGCAGUAGGGAAUCGGCCGCAAUAGGCGAGAACCUGGCGGAGCGGCGCCGCGUGAGUGAUGGAGGUCUUCGGAUCGUGAAGCUCGGUUAUUAGGUAAGAACAGAUGUGGAAUGAGCUGUGCACAUCGUGACGGUACCUAAUCAGAAAGCCACGGCUAACUACGUG